Molecule: ribosomal RNA, 254 nt
Filed under: uncultured bacterium
Lineage: Bacteria
Description: partial 16S ribosomal RNA
Rfam family: Bacterial small subunit ribosomal RNA
Source: RNAcentral
UACGUAGGGAGCGAGCGUUGUCCGAAGUUACUGGGCGUAAAGCGCGCGUAGGCGGGCUGUUAAGUGAGAGGUGAAAGGCUGGGGCUUAACCCCAUGCAGUGCCUCUCAUACUGGCGGUCUUGAGUGCGGCAGGGAGAAGUGGAAUGGCUGGUGUAGCGGUGAAAUGCGCAGAUAUCAGGAGGAACACCGGUGGCGAAGGCGGGUCUCUGGGCAACAACUGACGCUGAGGAGCGAAAGCGUGGGUAGCAAACAGG